Molecule: long non-coding RNA, 406 nt
Organism: Chroicocephalus ridibundus (black-headed gull)
Lineage: Eukaryota; Metazoa; Chordata; Aves; Charadriiformes; Laridae
Exons: 5
Source: RefSeq, a predicted model, not a curated record
AAUAAAUUGGCGCCUCACCUUCUCACGCUUCACCCAGCACUUACCACACUGCAGAGGAAGAUGAAGGUCGCAGUCCUCAGCGUGGCCCUGCUCUUCACCAUCCUGCUGUGCACCCCAGAGGAUGCUCAGGCACUCCUAGAAGGAAGUGGACUUAGUGACGUGGAUGAGGCACUAGUCAGAGGUCUGCUAUCAAAGAGGGCUGCGCCCCCUCUGCCUGACGUAGAUGCGGACCUUUUGCGCAAGAGAAGUGUGGCCGCAUCCCUUCAUGUCUAGACCUGGAACUGAUGGUGACACCCAUGUCCUGUCCCCCUCCAGCAGCACGAGGAGAUGAUCAUCGCUGCAUGACCCCACCUGAUCCCCUGGGAGCCCUGGCCCAUUUCCCUCUAAUCAUCAAUAAACCUCAUCA